GAUGAACGCUGGCGGCGUGCCUAAUACAUGCAAGUCGAGCGAACGGACGAGAAGCUUGCUUCUCUGAUGUUAGCGGCGGACGGGUGAGUAAAAUGUGGAUAACCUACCUAUAAGACUGGGAUAACUUCGGGAAACCGGUGCUAAUACCGGAUGAUAUUUUGAACCGCAUGGUUGAAAAGUGAAAGACGGUCUUGCUGUCACUUAUAGAUGGAUCCGUGCUGCAUUAGCUAGUUGGUAAGGUAACGGCUUACCAAGGCAACGAUGCAUAGCCGACCUGAGAGGGGGAACGGCGACUCUGAAGCUGAGACGCGGCCCUGGGUCCUACGGACGGCAGCAGUAGCGACUCUUCGGCACUGGGCGAAAGCCUGACGGAGCAGCGCCGCGUGAGUGAUGAAGGUCUUCGGAUCGGAAAACUCUGUUAUUGGGGAAGAACACAUGUGUAAGUAACUGUGCACAUCUUGACGGUACCUAAUCAGAAAGCCACGGCUAACUACGUG
This 497-nucleotide ribosomal RNA is filed under the name uncultured bacterium. Its description in RNAcentral is "partial 16S ribosomal RNA". It matches the Rfam family "Bacterial small subunit ribosomal RNA", at positions 28 to 507 of the family's 1533-position model. The record is from RNAcentral.